GGCUUCACCGGUGGCCUAGUGGUUAUAGUGUCCGCUUCGGAUGCAGAGGUCGUGGAAUCGAUCCCCGGUCGAGUCA
Non-coding RNA from Potamilus streckersoni, 76 nucleotides. Lineage: Eukaryota; Metazoa; Mollusca; Bivalvia; Unionida; Unionidae. The record is from the annotation of a GenBank genome assembly.